This 655-nucleotide ribosomal RNA is filed under the name fungal endophyte sp. DM163. RNAcentral describes it as "eukaryotic LSU rRNA". It matches the Rfam family "Eukaryotic large subunit ribosomal RNA", at positions 108 to 781 of the family's 3401-position model. Lineage: Eukaryota; Fungi. The record is from RNAcentral.
CUCAAAUUUGAAAUCUGGCGUCUUUGGCGUCCGAGUUGUAAUUUGCAGAGGGCGCUUUGGCAUUGGCAGCGGUCCAAGUUCCUUGGAACAGGACGUCACAGAGGGUGAGAAUCCCGUACGUGGUCGCUAGCCUUUACCGUGUAAAGCCCCUUCGACGAGUCGAGUUGUUUGGGAAUGCAGCUCUAAAUGGGAGGUAAAUUUCUUCUAAAGCUAAAUACUGGCCAGAGACCGAUAGCGCACAAGUAGAGUGAUCGAAAGAUGAAAAGCACUUUGGAAAGAGAGUUAAAAAGCACGUGAAAUUGUUGAAAGGGAAGCGCUUGCAGCCAGACUUGCCUGUAGUUGCUCAUCCGGGUUUUUACCCGGUGCACUCUUCUAUAGGCAGGCCAGCAUCAGUUUGGGCGGUUGGAUAAAGGUCUCUGUCAUGUACCUCUCUUCGGGGAGAACUUAUAGGGGAGACGACAUGCAACCAGCCUGGACUGAGGUCCGCGCAUCUGCUAGGAUGCUGGCGUAAUGGCUGUAAGCGGCCCGUCUUGAAACACGGACCAAGGAGUCUAACAUCUAUGCGAGUGUUUGGGUGUCAAGCCCGAGCGCGUAAUGAAAGUGAACGGAGGUGAGAACCUUUCGGGGUGCACCGUCGACCGAUCCUGAUGUCUUC